This 211-nucleotide ribosomal RNA is filed under the name uncultured bacterium. RNAcentral describes it as "partial 16S ribosomal RNA". It matches the Rfam family "Bacterial small subunit ribosomal RNA", at positions 524 to 734 of the family's 1533-position model. The record is from RNAcentral.
UACGGAGGGUGCGAGCGUUAAUCGGAAUUACUGGGCGUAAAGCGCACGCAGGCGGUGAAUUAAGUCAGAUGUGAAAGACCCGAGCUUAACUUGGGAAUUGCAGUUGAAACUGGUUAGCUAGAGUCCUGUAGAGGCAGGGAGAAUUCCAGGUGUAGCGGUGAAAUGCGUAGAGAUGUGGAGGAAUACCGGUGGCGAAGGCGGCCUCCUGGAC